RNAcentral lists this ribosomal RNA (253 nucleotides) under uncultured Ktedonobacter sp. RNAcentral's name for it is "partial 16S ribosomal RNA". It matches the Rfam family "Bacterial small subunit ribosomal RNA", at positions 524 to 776 of the family's 1533-position model. The record is from RNAcentral. Lineage: Bacteria; Bacillati; Chloroflexota; Ktedonobacteria; Ktedonobacterales; Ktedonobacteraceae.
UACGUAGGGGGCGAGCGUUGUCCGGAGUUACUGGGCGUAAAGCGCGCGUAGGCGGUCGAUCAAGUCUGGAGUGACAGUUCCCGGCUCACCUGGGAAAGGUCUUCGGAAACUGGUCGACUUGAGGGACUCAGAGGGAGACGGAAUUCCAGGUGGAGCGGUGAAAUGCGUAGAGAUCUGGAGGAACACCAAAGGCGAAGGCAGUCUCCUGGGAGUCACCUGACGCUCAGGCGCGAAAGCCAGGGGAGCGAACGGG